This 253-nucleotide ribosomal RNA is filed under the name uncultured bacterium. RNAcentral describes it as "partial 16S ribosomal RNA". It matches the Rfam family "Bacterial small subunit ribosomal RNA", at positions 524 to 776 of the family's 1533-position model. The record is from RNAcentral.
UACAGAGGGUGCAAGCGUUGUUCGGAAUUAUUGGGCGUAAAGGGAGUGUAGGCUGCUUGUUAAGUCUUCUGUGAAAUCUACGGGCUCAGCCUGUAACGUGCAGAGGAAACUGGCGAGCUUGAGUGUCGGAGAGGAUAGGGGAAUACCCGGUGUAGAGGUGAAAUUCGUAGAGAUCGGGUGGAACACCAGUGGCGAAGGCGCCUAUCUGGCUGACAACUGACGCUGAGACUCGAAAGCAUGGGGAGCAAACAGG